AUGGGUAGUCGCACGUGCUCCUCCGCCGUCGUGCUCACCAUCUCCGUCGUCGCGGUGCUUCUCAACGCGGACGUGGCGCUGUGCGGCUGCAGAUACAAGCGCUUCUUCGCGUUCGGUGACUCCCUCAUCGACACCGGCAACUUCGUGUACACCAUCGGCAACGGCCCGUCGCCACUCAAGGAGCUCCCCUUCGGCAUGACCUUCUUCAAGCACCCUAGCGGCCGCAUCUCCGACGGCCGUGUCGUCGUCGACUUCUAUGCGGAGGCGUUGGGCCUGCCGCUGCUGCCGCCGAGCAUCCCGGAGGAGGCGACCGGGCAGUUCCCCACCGGCGCCAACUUCGCCGUGUUUGGCUCCACCGCGCUGCCGCCGGAGUACUUCAAGACCAAGUACAACUUCACAGUGAACCCGCCUUCCACCCUCGACCGGCAGCUCGCCUCCUUCAAGAAGGUCCUCGCGCGCAUCGCUCCCGGGGCUGUCGCCACGAGGGCUCUCCUGAACGAUUCCCUGGUGCUGGUGGGCGAGAUCGGCGGGAACGACUACAACUUCUGGUUCGGCAACCCCAGUAAACCCCGUGCGACGCCGGAGGAGUACCUGCCCGACGUGGUCGCCCGCAUCGGCGCUGCCGUACAGGAGGUGAUCGACCUCGGCGCCAGGACGAUCGUCGUCCCGGACAACUUCCCCAUCGGGUGCGUGCCGGCGUACCUGAGCGCCCACCAGAGCAACGUCACGGCCGACUACGACGAGCUGCACUGCCUCAAGUGGUACAACGAGUUCUCCCAGAAGCACAACCAGGCGCUGCGGCAGGAGCUCGUCAGGAUCCGGUCGAAGAACCCCGGCGUCAAGGUGGUCUACGCCGACUACUACGGCGCCGCCAUGCAGUUCGUCCAGAAGCCGCAGGCGUAUGGCAUCGCCGACCCGCUCGUGGCGUGCUGCGGCGGCAACGGGCCGUACCACACCGGCGGGGCGUGCAACAGCAGCACGAAGCUCUGGGGCAGCCCCGACGGGUUCGCCAGCUGGGACGGCCUGCACAUGACGGAGAAGGCGUACAAGAUUGUCUCCGACGGCGUGCUGGAUGGGCCGUUCGCCGACACCCCGCUGCGCCAUCUUUGCUAG
RNAcentral lists this ribosomal RNA (1113 nucleotides) under Triticum aestivum (bread wheat). RNAcentral's name for it is "partial small subunit ribosomal RNA". The record is from RNAcentral. Lineage: Eukaryota; Viridiplantae; Streptophyta; Magnoliopsida; Poales; Poaceae.